Long non-coding RNA from Pipra filicauda (Wire-tailed manakin), 900 nucleotides. RefSeq lists it as uncharacterized. NCBI's taxonomy places the organism in Eukaryota, Metazoa, Chordata, Aves, Passeriformes, Pipridae. The transcript is spliced from 3 exons. The record is from RefSeq and is a predicted model, not a curated record.
UGCCCCGGGUGCUGCAGAUAACGAAGUCAACUAAACUGCAGAUCUCCCUUUGCUUUCUAAGGCAUUGGGCAAAUCCAAAGUGCUACAGGGCACACACAUUAUAAGGAGCCGAAAAGGAACAGUAAAACAAAAGCUCGUAACACAGUCAUCUGAACCUGGCUCAAAUUCUUUAGAAAUAACUCUCUCCUCCCUCCCUCCAGCAGACUUCAGCCAGCAGCCUGUUGGGAGAGCCCGAGGAGGAGUUGUGUGGCUCUACAGCAGGGAGACAACUCUCUCGGAGGAGCAGUGGGAGGCGAAAACAGCAGGGUUACUUACACUCCGUAGGCAUUGUGAUAAUCGUUUCGGUGGUGGCAUGAUAGUCAUCAUCUUCCAAAGAGCCAUCACUACUGUCAUCUCUCUGGACGUCAUACUGAUCAAUCAGUUCCUGUAGUGGAGGAGCCUUGGGUAAAAGUUGCUUAAUAACAUCCCUGCUAAUGUUAGGAGCUUGUUCCAGGCGCAGUUUGCUGAGGAUUUGAAUUUUUAUGGCUUCUAUUCUGGAAGAUUUUGUAUUCUGUCUCCACGUACAAGCAUUGCACAGUCCGUCUUUUUCAGCGUUCUCUGUGGGCUGACUACUGUCAUCAAGAGCCACCGGAUCAACUGAAAUCAGCAUGAGCAGCUGUGUCAGCUGCAUCUCUGAUGGGAAACCUUGAAUUCCUCUAAGGAGUUGUUACCAUGCUUGGAGAGGUUUCACUUGUGCAUUUGCAGAAAGUGCUUGAAAUACCAAAAGACUUCGUCUCCAGCUAUGAGAAUACUUGUAUUUUCUCCAAGACACAGCUCUUCAAAGGGGAUUUUCGCCCCAGGAGGGCUACUUGGUGAGGAGUUCCUUUCUCUGAAGAUGGAAUAAACAACAAUAUUCUGCAG